This 253-nucleotide ribosomal RNA is filed under the name uncultured bacterium. RNAcentral's name for it is "partial 16S ribosomal RNA". It matches the Rfam family "Bacterial small subunit ribosomal RNA", at positions 524 to 776 of the family's 1533-position model. The record is from RNAcentral.
UACGAAGGGGGCGAGCGUUGUUCGGAUUUACUGGGCGUAAAGGGCGCGCAGGCGGCUCAUUUUGUCAGGCGUGAAAGCCCCGGGCUUAACCUGGGAACUGCGUUUGAUACGGAUGGGCUAGAGUUCGGGAGAGGAGAGUGGAAUUCCCAGUGUAGAGGUGAAAUUCGUAGAUAUUGGGAAGAACACCGGUGGCGAAGGCGGCUCUCUGGACCGAUACUGACGCUGAGGCGCGAAGGCGUGGGGAGCAAACAGG